AUGUCCGCAGAAGACCGGAGUGACAUUAGUGAGGAAAAACUUAACACUAUGCGUCGUUGGCUGCUGAAACAGAGCAUCACCGAGCUGCUGGAGCAUCGUCGGUGCUGUAACGGAGCUCGCCGUGUCGCGCGGAGCGUCGUCAGUGCUGCAAGGGAGCUUGCCGGCCCGCAGAAUAUUGUCUGUGCUGUAACGGAGCAUCAUCGGGCCAUCAAAACUUCGAGGGUCAUUCCCGAACUUAAACUUCUUCAGAACAAGCCCGUGUCCAGGAAAGGGGCAACCACAAACGCCAUCCUUUACAAAAAUCUCACAAUUUCUAUUGGUUCUUUCCUACACAAGUUUAAUCUAGUAUUUGCAACAUGCUUCAGGUAG
Molecule: ribosomal RNA, 369 nt
Filed under: Triticum aestivum (bread wheat)
Lineage: Eukaryota; Viridiplantae; Streptophyta; Magnoliopsida; Poales; Poaceae
Description: partial small subunit ribosomal RNA
Source: RNAcentral